CGUAUAGCAUUACUAGCCCAAGGACUCACCAUACGCGCCACGCACGCAGCUGCACUCACCGAAUUAGCCUGACCGCUUCUCCCAAGCACAUAGCUUCUCCCAACCACCAAACCCGUCUUACAAUACAUCGCGAAAUCCUCACAAUUAUUCUCGAACACAUGAUACUCACCAAACCCAUUUCUCAACAAAAGAAACUCCGCGCGAGAGAUCACUUCCUCCGAAGGAUCCGAAGCCGCCGUCGUGCAGGUACCUCCUCUUAGCUUGGACAUGAACAGAGCCGGAGAGACGCUGUACUCGAAGCGAAGGAGGUCUCUUCCGGCGAGAAAGCAAUCGAGACAAGAAGAGAUAACUCCAUGCGUGUUGGAAUGCUUUCCUCCACAGUUAGGACAAGGGUUGUCUCCUCCGUGAUUGGUAAUAGAGCUGACAAUGAGCUUGUCUAGAAAAGUUCCCGUUCCGAUUUCAAGACCGCCUCCACGUGUGAAAUGAAUGACCUUUCCGUCUCCUAUGUAGAUUCCUGUGAGAUUGCAAAUAUAAAGUUCGGAUCUUUGAUAAACCCAGAAGAGAGAUGGAGAGAUAGAGAAGAGGAGGAGAUGGGUUACCGUGAUGGGAAUAGAUAUAAGCGUUACGCCAUGAGUAGAUGUGAUCUCCUGGUUUCAGAUCGUCUUUAGAGAUCUUGUUGGAGAAUAAUCCUAUCUUCUCUAGAAGAAUGGAUUCCAUCUCUGGCUGGAUCAAUGUGGGUUCUCUAGAGAACUUUUUUCUAAGAUUGUUGGUUUUAAUAACCAAACCAUUAAAGUCAACUGGCUUUGUAUUGGCUUAGCUGCAUAACCCAAAGUCAACGAAUUAACGUAUCCCCGAAGAACUUUUAAAAACAUAUAAAUUUAUAUUUAAUAAAUUAACAUAAAUUUUAAUUUAGGCUAGUGUAAAAUAUAACAUAGUUCGAUUAAAUAAUAAAAUAAUAAAUUUUUGAAAAAAUUAGAAAAAUAUAUUGGAGUUGUUCACUAAAUUGCAAAUUAAUAAUCUCUCCGUUUCGUAAUACUUGAUGUUUUGUAUUAGUGCACAAAGAUUAAGAAAAUUAACUUUUUGUAAAAAAAAAUAUUUUAAAAAAUAUAAUUUUAAAAUCAAUGAACCAAUUACUAAAAAAACUUUAAAAUCUAAUUGGUUGAACAAUUUUCAAUAAAGUUAAAUUAAUCUUAAAAUUUCAAAACUUCAUGUAAAUUAUUACAAAAUAAUUUUUUUAAAACAUCAUCUAUAUUGAAACGGAGGGAGUAAUUGAUAUAUACAAAAUUUGUAUAAAGUUAUAUAAACAUAAUUUUUCUUUUAGAAUGAUCUAUAAGAAAAUUUAAAUAUUAUUUUAUCGAAUUACAUUUAAAAGUGCAUUAACUUUCUUCAGAAAAUGCAUCCAAAAAUGAAUUACAUCUAGGUGACUUAUUGAUAACUCAGAAAAAGCCUUUGUUUAUAUUCAGCUACAUAUACACACAAGGUGUUGAAGAAGAUAAAGAGACAAAAGCAUGUUGCACUCUCGUCUGAUUGAAAUGGGUUAUGAUCAGAAAACCUUCUUGUGUGGAGAGCUUUGUUUGGUUAUUGUCUUAUUGAUGAUGACUAGUACUGUAACACUAAAUUCCAAAUCAACCAACGGAGCCACACUAACGGUAGGUAAGUGAUCAAACACCAUUCAUCUUCCACUUCUGUGUGUUGUUUUUUGGUUUUUCAAGUUUUUUCAUUUAAUGACAUGUCAUUCUCAUAUGACUCUAAACAACUGAUGUGUCAAGUGCUGGAGAGAACCUUGCUGUAUUAUUGUGUUGAUUCCACCUCCGAAUUGUGUAGAAGGCAUUCGAGUGAUGGGCCAAAUCAUUGGGCCUAAACAAAAUUACUAAAAUAUAUAUAAUCUUCGUCCGUCUCUCUGUUAGACCAAAAUCGCUUAUAGGAGAGAGGGUAGAAGAGACGAGAAAGAUAAAUGAGGCCGAUGCAACUGGAUAUGUUGGCGGAGAUGGAUGAUGCAGGUUCUUCGAUGGCCAUGGACGUAGAUGACAUCGAAGCCAUGGAGAUGCUCAGCGAAGGAGGACUUAUCUCUGAGAACAAGCUCGCCGACGCCGAUUUCUUCAACAAGUUCGACGACGAUUUCGACGACUCCGAUAUCAACUGAUCUUCUUUAGCUCUCUAUUGUUUCAGAUUUCCCCUUUGUUUGGUUGAGUUUUUUUAUGUAAUUUCUGGAAGAAUCUAUAUUCCCCCGUUGAUUAGGGAUUCUGUGUUUGCGAAUCGAAGUUCCUAUCUGAACAUUAAGUAUGAUCUCUACAUGUCUUGUGGGUUUUGCUUACUAUCCUCUUGGAACAGAUUUAACAUUUGGGUACCUUAAUUGUUUUGCCUUUGUUUCUUUCUGGAGUUGGAAUCUGUUUUUGUUUUCUUGCUAAUUUAGCUUCAACCUAAUCUCUUAAGGUGUUUCUCGUUGUAUCUGAGAUGUGCAUAGACAUAAACUUCGUUUAUUAGACACAGAAGAGAUGUUAGAAGCGCCGCGAGACCAAGAAAUGAUUCUUUCCUCUUGUGUGAGGUUUUUCACUUUACUCUCUUUCCGGUUCACUACAAACCACGACUCUUGCCUCUUGGUUUGCAUUUGAUUUUUUCGGUUUUUGGUUUUAAAAGGUUUAAUUCGGGUAGAGAACAUCCAGUUCAGUUUUGUUUGGUUUGGUUAAGUGUUGGAAAGGUUGAUCUACCUUUUUGAGUUUAGUGAUUAGAUACAACUAAAAUUUUCUAUAUUGUUUCGUACUGAUUAGAUAAUGAUUAUUGAGCAUAAACAAACUUGAUAUUUAAAAGAGAUUAAUAUCCAAUAUUUAAAACAGAGAGAUUAAUAUCCAAGUUCUAAAGUUGUGGAAUAUAAAAUAUAUAUAUAUAUAUCCAACUCAUUAAUAUGAAUACCCACAUUCCAUUUCAUCCCCAAAAAUAUGAAUACCAACGAGCUCCACAAAGUGUGAAAUAGCACGCCUUCCCAGUGGAAUAUUGAGAAAACCACAUUGCCUCCACAGCAGCACGCUAUACUGAAGUUGAACGUAGUGGAUUUCACGCUUAGUCCCUCUGCCAGUAAGAGCUUCACAUGGUUAGAAGACCAAGUAGAGUUAACUUCCUCCAAAGUUGGACAGUGAAAUCCAUGUUACAAUAAAGCAUAAGCUCAGUGGACCAAGAAAAAAAAAACAAUUGAACAAGCCAAACAUGAAAGGAAGGAAAAAAGAACUAAUCGUAGACUGCCCUGGAUGUACAAACAAAUAAGGAUAGGAGGGAAGUCCUAUAGCAAGAGGAGAAUGUAUCAGUUGAUCCAAAAGUGCCUCUUCAAAAUGGACAUGAGAUGAAUAUUCAGUAGGAACACUCAUAUGAACAAGCAUCUCUGUCACAGCAAACAGAGGUGGAUCCUGUAAAAAAAAUAUAAGAACAUUCCUAUCACACCAGAUAGAAGUGGAUCCUAUUAAAAAUAUAUAAGAACAUAAACACAAUGAAUAAAAUCGGUAAGUUACCGGAGCAGAACUUUGAACAGUCCAUCUUGCAAGGCAUCUGCUACCAUUUCAAGCAAAGGUAUAGCUCAAGAAUCCAUAAAAAUACCUGUGACAUUGACUUUCGUGCAGAGAGUGCUAAAACUGAAUGAGUAACCAACAGCGGUAAAUAGGAGCUCAAUUCUGCAGUGAAAGAAAAACAUGGAAUGAAGGAAAAACAACUAACCGUAGACUGUUCUUCUGGUUAUUCAUACAAAGAAGGAUACGAGGGAAGUCAUAUAGCAAUAGGAGAGUGAAUCAAAUGAUCCAUAAGUGUCUCUUCGAAUUGGGCAUGAGAUGAGUAUUCACUGGGAUAAUUGAUAUGCACAAUCACUGCACAUGAUUCUGUCACGGCAAUGUCUUGGCUAUUACAAUACUCAUCUCUUGCCAAAUUUGAACAAUCACUAGGAAGAGGCGAAAACUUACUUUUCUCUAAAACGGCUAACAUGUAUAAAAUGAAUCAAUAUUGUAUGAAUUGAUACAUGUUCCAGUAUUAUAAUAUUUUAUGUAUAUGUUUUCACGUGAAUAAGAUGAAAAUCAUGGUAUUAUGUAUUACAUGAAAGUGUAUUAUGACCCACUGUUAAAUGAUCACAAUAUUAUUAGAUGUGGUUUCCUUUUUGGUACUUAUGAUGUUGUGCAGAAAAUAUUAAGCGAAAAUUAUGGUGGGUUUAAUGUAUUGAUUUAACCGUAAAAACAAAAAAAUUGAAUGACCAAUUUCAACGAUAUACUUAUGAUGUUGUGCAGAAAAUAUUAAGCGAAAAUUAUGGUGGGUUUAAUGUAUUGAUUUAACCGUAAAAACAAAAAAAUUGAAUGACCAAUUUCGACGAUUAUAAAUAUAUCAUCAUACAACAAAAAAAAAUACUACAUAUUAUUUGUUUUUUAGAUGAUGCAUUCCAUGAUUUCAAAACACUAUUUUGAUACUAAGUAUUAAAAUAUAAAGUUUUGAAAAAAUUGGUUGGCCAACAUAAUUCUCCUUCCUCUUGUCUCUAGAUCUUCUUAUCGAAUCCAAAUAACUUUAACACUAGACCCUGAUCCGCGCGCCAGCGCUGGUAUGAAUUUUCAGUUUUUAAUUAUUUAUUUUAUUAAAUAAUGUAUUUGUAAUAUUCGUUCAUAUUAUAUUCAUUAAGUAAAUAUUUUAUUUUUGCAUCUUAAACUAUCUAUUUUUUUACGAAUGUGUGAUAUCAUAUAAAAAAAUAUAAAAAAAUGAGUAUAUAGAGUUAAUUAGAUAAUUGUAAAAACAGAAAUAUUUCUUUCGUGUGCGAUAUCAUAUAAAUAAUGAUCCGUCCAGUUAACAAAAAUCAUGAUUUUUUUAUGUGUAAUUUUUUUUAUUUUGACAAUUUCUUUAAAACUAUAUUAAAUUUUACAUAUUUUAAUUAGAAUAUUUUUAAUAUCUUUACCUUUUUAUUUGAAAUGCAACUCAAUAUUUUUUAAAAAAUUAUAACAAAAUAUUUAAAAAAUAUUUUUAGAAUUUGUUUGAAAAAUAUGAAAAUUACAUUUUAAAUUAAAAUCAUCCUAAACUAUGAUAAGUUUUGAUGUAAACGAAAACUCAAAUUAUGUCAAAAAUAAUUAUAUUCAAUGAUAAUAACAAUUUAAAUUAAUUAUUUUUAAAAAAUACAUUUACAUUGCCUGAACCUACUAGUCAUCAUGGCUUACAGUUCCAACUCUUAUGGUCUUGUGAAUUGAACAGUUGGCGUGGUGUUCUUGGCCACUAUAAUAAACUUUAAUUAGUCAUCACGGCUUACAGUUCCAACUCUUAUGGUCUUGCGAAUUGAACAGUUUAACCAACCAGUAAUCAACUUAAAUUUAAUUUAGAAACCGUGUUCUUCUUGAUUACGCAAAAAUAAGACAAUCUCAAGCGUGGUUAUAACGAGUAAAGAAUCAACCACAUCUCUUUCUUUACGCGUUUACUUUUUUACACAACACAAACAAUGAAGAUCUCAAUUAAACUGUAUUCACACAUCAUUAUCAACCACAUCUCUUUCUUUACGCGUUUACGUUUUUACACAACACAAACAAUGAAGACCUCAAUUAAACUGUAUUCACACAUCAUACAAUAGAGUUACACAAUUCAAAGAAUUUAGAAGCAGAUUCAAUCUGGCAUUAACCAACAAUCAAAUACACACAUUGCACACAAUCAGAACCAAACCAAACUCAGCUCUCCUUUGCCAAUGUAUCAGCCUGAUUAAACCGAGCAACGAGGCUCUCCACAGGCACUUUAACAGCAUCACUCCUCAUACCAACAUCCGAACACAGACGUAUAGCAUUACUAGCCCAAGGACUAACCAUACGCGCAACACACGCAGCCGCACUCACCGAGUUAGCCUGGCCGCUUCUCCCAAGCACAUAGCUUCUCCCCACCACCAAACCCGUCUUACAGUACAUCGCAAAAUCCUCACAGUUAUUCUCGAACACAUGGUACUCACCAAACCCAUUUCUCAGCAAAAGAAACUCCGCACGAGAGAUCACUUCCUCCGAAGGAUCCGAAGCCGCCGUCGUGCAGGUACCGCCUCGGAGCUUGGACAUGAACAGAGCCGGAGAGACACUGUACUCGAAGCGAAGGAGAUCUCCUCCGGAGAGAAAGCAAUCGAGACAAGAAGAGAUAACUCCAUGCGUGUUGGAUUGCUUUCCUCCACAGUUAGGACAAGGGUUGUCUCCUCCGUGAUUGGUAAUAGAGCUGACGAUGAG
Molecule: long non-coding RNA, 6200 nt
Filed under: Brassica napus (rape)
Lineage: Eukaryota; Viridiplantae; Streptophyta; Magnoliopsida; Brassicales; Brassicaceae
Description: long non-coding RNA (BNAP_LNC012737)
Source: RNAcentral